AAUGAACGUUAGCGGCGCGCCUGAUGCAUGCAAGUCGAACGGGGGUAGUGAUACUCCAGUGGCGGACGGGUGAGUAACGCGUAGGAAUCUGCCUGGUAGAGGGGGACAACCUGGGGAAACCCAGGCUAAUACCGCAUGAGCUCGCGAGAGGAAAGCGGGGGACCUUCGGGCCUCGCGCUACCGGAUGAGCCUACGUCCGAUUAGCUAGUUGGUGGGGUAACGGCCCACCAAGGCGACGAUCGGUAGCUGGUCUGAGAGGACGAUCAGCCACACUGGGACUGAGACACGGCCCAGACUCCUACGGGAGGCUG
This 311-nucleotide ribosomal RNA is filed under the name uncultured Pseudomonadota bacterium. Its description in RNAcentral is "bacterial SSU rRNA". It matches the Rfam family "Bacterial small subunit ribosomal RNA", at positions 28 to 351 of the family's 1533-position model. The record is from RNAcentral. Lineage: Bacteria; Pseudomonadati; Pseudomonadota.